Molecule: long non-coding RNA, 576 nt
Filed under: Anas platyrhynchos platyrhynchos (common mallard)
Lineage: Eukaryota; Metazoa; Chordata; Aves; Anseriformes; Anatidae
Description: lncRNA (ENSAPLG00000019160.1)
Source: RNAcentral
CAAAUGAUGAGCAGACGGGAGGAUCACCUCUCUUGACCUGCUGGCAAUACUUUACCUAAUGCAACCAAGAAUACUGUUAGUCUUCUCAGUGGCAAGGACACAUUGUUGGCUCAUGUUCAACUUGCUGUCUAUCAGGACAUUCAGGUUGUAAGUUUGUAACAUUUCAAAAUAGUCAAAUAAAUUAUCUGGAAUGAAGAGCACCCUGAAUUAUACAACAAGGAAAACUCAGACUCUGGCAAGUCUACAGCGUCCCUUUGGCACAGAUUGUGAAGUUCUGUGGAAAAACAUCCUAAGAGAUGGUGUCAACCACUUCAUAUAUUAAAAUACUGUUCCACUGCAGAAGGGGAAAAGGUUUCAGAAAUGGUUGUGUUCCUGGCCCCAGGGCAGUCUUACAGCUUUGGGCAUGGAAAGAGUCUGCUUAACAGAAAUCUUGAAAAAGACACUGGGGGCUAUGAAACAGGAAGGAACAUGAAGACAAAUAGUGGUGGUGAUAAUAUGAUUGAAUUGUCUCCAGCAGAGAAGGCAGAAUUCCAUGCUAUAGUGCCCUUUUGCAACAGUAAGCUCAUGUACUCUUAG